AGAGUUUGAUCAUGGCUCAGAACGAACGCUGGCGGCGUGGAUAAGACAUGCAAGUCGGACGAGAUUUCCUUUGGUAGCAAUACCGAGGGACGUCUAGUGGCGAACGGGUGCGUAACACGUGGACAAUCUGCCUUAAAGUGGGGGACAGCUCGGCGAAAGCCGGAUUAAUACCGCAUGUGAUCAGCCAAGACAUCUUGGCGAAAUUAAAGGUGGCGCAAGCUACCGCUUUUUGAGGAGUCCGCGGCCUAUCAGCUAGUUGGUGAGGUAACGGCUCACCAAGGCUUUGACGGGUAGCUGGUCUGAGAGGACGACCAGCCACACUGGAACUGAGACACGGUCCAGACACCUACGGGUGGCAGCAGUCGAGAAUUUUUCUCAAUGGGGGAAACCCUGAAGGAGCGACGCCGCGUGGAGGAUGAAGGUCUUCGGGUUGUAAACUCCUGUCAUUUGGGAACAAUGCUUACGUAUUAACUGUACGUGAGUUGAUAGUACCAGAAGAGGAAGAGACGGCUAACUCUGUGCCAGCAGCCGCGGUAAUACAGAGGUCUCAAGCGUUGUUCGGAUUCAUUGGGCGUAAAGGGUGCGUAGGCGGCGCGGUAAGUCGGGUGUGAAAUUUCGGAGCUUAACUCCGAAACUGCAUUCGAUACUGCCGUGCUUGAGGACUGGAGAGGAGACUGGAAUUUACGGUGUAGCAGUGAAAUGCGUAGAGAUCGUAAGGAAGACCAGUGGCGAAGGCGGGUCUCUGGACAGUUCCUGACGCUGAGGCACGAAGGCCAGGGGAGCAAACGGGAUUAGAUACCCCCGUAGUCC
This 810-nucleotide ribosomal RNA is filed under the name uncultured bacterium. RNAcentral's name for it is "bacterial SSU rRNA". It matches the Rfam family "Bacterial small subunit ribosomal RNA", at positions 8 to 796 of the family's 1533-position model. The record is from RNAcentral.